RNAcentral lists this ribosomal RNA (460 nucleotides) under uncultured bacterium. RNAcentral describes it as "partial 16S ribosomal RNA". It matches the Rfam family "Bacterial small subunit ribosomal RNA", at positions 338 to 795 of the family's 1533-position model. The record is from RNAcentral.
CCUACGGGCGGCAGCAGUGAGGAAUAUUGGUCAAUGGACGAGAGUCUGAACCAGCCAAGUAGCGUGAAGGAUGACUGCCCUAUGGGUUGUAAACUUCUUUUAUAUGGGAAUAAAAUGUUCCACGUGUGGCAUUUUGUAUGUACCAUAUGAAUAAGGAUCGGCUAACUCCGUUCCAGCAGCCGCGGUAAUACGGAGGAUCCGAGCGUUAUCCGGAUUUAUUGGGUUUAAAGGGAGCGUAGAUGGAUUGUUAAGUCAGUUGUGAAAGUUUGCGGCUCAACCGUAAAAUUGCAGUUGAAACUGGCAGUCUUGAGUACAGGAGAGGUGGGCGGAAUGCGUGGUGUAGCGGUGAAAUGCUUAGAUAUCACGAAGAACUCCGAUUGCGAAGGCAGCUCACUGGACUGCAACUGACACUGAGGCUCGAAAGUGUGGGUAUCAAACAGGAUUAGAUACCCCAGUAGUC